This 465-nucleotide ribosomal RNA is filed under the name Vreelandella stevensii. RNAcentral's name for it is "partial 16S ribosomal RNA". It matches the Rfam family "Bacterial small subunit ribosomal RNA", at positions 338 to 795 of the family's 1533-position model. The record is from RNAcentral. Lineage: Bacteria; Pseudomonadati; Pseudomonadota; Gammaproteobacteria; Oceanospirillales; Halomonadaceae.
CCUACGGGUGGCAGCAGUGGGGAAUAUUGGACAAUGGGGGCAACCCUGAUCCAGCCAUGCCGCGUGUGUGAAGAAGGCCCUCGGGUUGUAAAGCACUUUCAGUGAGGAAGAACGCCUGGUGGUUAAUACCCAUCAGUAAAGACAUCACUCACAGAAGAAGCACCGGCUAACUCCGUGCCAGCAGCCGCGGUAAUACGGAGGGUGCGAGCGUUAAUCGGAAUUACUGGGCGUAAAGCGCGCGUAGGUGGCUUGAUAAGCCGGUUGUGAAAGCCCCGGGCUCAACCUGGGAACGGCAUCCGGAACUGUCAAGCUAGAGUGCAGGAGAGGAAGGUAGAAUUCCCGGUGUAGCGGUGAAAUGCGUAGAGAUCGGGAGGAAUACCAGUGGCGAAGGCGGCCUUCUGGACUGACACUGACACUGAGGUGCGAAAGCGUGGGUAGCAAACAGGAUUAGAUACCCGUGUAGUC